This 1521-nucleotide long non-coding RNA is filed under the name Homo sapiens (human). Its description in RNAcentral is "HSALNT0254093". Lineage: Eukaryota; Metazoa; Chordata; Mammalia; Primates; Hominidae. The record is from RNAcentral.
CACCUGUAAUUCCAGCUACCCGGAAGGCUGAGGCAGGAGAACUGUUUGAACCCAGGAGAUGCAGGUUGCAGUGAGCUGAGAUCGCGCCACUGCACUCCAGCCUGGGUGACAAGAACGAGACUCCGUUGGAAAAAAAAAAAAACAGCAAGGUACUGGAUGCGGCAUGCUGGUGGGGACUGGGGCCCUGGCGCCCCUUGUAAAGCGCCUGUUUGCCCAUCCGUAAGCUGGAUCCUGCCCCGUCCUUCCCAUGGAAGCCAUCACAGUCAGAGAAGAGGGUAGAAGACAGGAAACCAUCCAUUCAUUCACUCAACUCAUUCCGUGAGCAUUUAUUGAGCACCUACUGUGUACAGACAGUGUUGUGGGCCUUGGGGACUCAGCAGUGAAGAAGACAGGCAAGUUCCUGCCCUUGUGGGGCUGACAUUCAGCAGAGAGGCAGGAAGGAAACGCUGAACACAACAUGUAAAUGACAUUGUCUGUCAGAAGAAUUUAGUGGGAAAGAGAGUGUGGACAGACAAGAGGAAUAGCAAACGCCAGGCACGGUGGCUCACGCCUGUAAUCCCAGCACUUUGGGAGGUCGAGGCAGGUGAAUCACCUAAGGUCAGGAGCUCCAGACCAGUCUGGCCAACACGGUGAAACCUCGUCUCUACUAAAAAUACAAAAAUUAGCCAGGCAUGAUGGUGGGCACCUGUAAUCCCAGCUACUCAGGAGGCUAAGGUGGAAGGAUGGCUUGAACCCAGGAGGUGGAGGUUGCAGUGAGCUGAGGUUGCGCCAUUGCCCUCCAGCCUGGGCAACAGAGCAAGACUCUGUCUCAAAAAAAAAAAAUUAGCCACGUGUGGUGGUGCACACCUGUAGUCCCAGAUACUCAGGAGGCUGAGGUGGGAGGAUUACCUGAUGGGGGAGGUCGAGGCUGCAGUGAGCCAAGAUCACAUCACUGCACUCCAGCCUGGGUGGCAGAGUGAGACCCUAUCUUAUUCAAAAAAAUAAAAACAACAAGGGUACCGAGGGCACCCAGUGACAAUGGGGAAGCUGGGGAAGUUCUCCCAGAGGAACACACAAGGCGUCUAACAGCAGGUGUCUGGAUGGCUGAAGCCCAAGCUGGUUGUGGGGCAAGGAGAGGUGAGCAGGGAAGAGACAGGAUUGUCUGGGCUCAGCUUUGCCUUGUGGGGCUGCAGGGCACUGGGGAACCAUAGAUGGUGUUUGAGCUGGGGCAGGCCAGGGCAUAUUUCUCUGGUGAAAGAGUGGAGUAGGGAGAGGAGGUGGGGAGACCCGGAGGCGACAUGGCUCAGGGUUGGGGUGGGGGCCAUAAGGCCUCAGCUAAAGUCAUGGCUGGGGAGAGGCGAGGGGGGUCUCUGACUCAGGGACAGGGGAGGAGUGAGGUUUUGGGACCCACCUAUAGCUUCCGGUCGUCCAAGGCUCCAGAGGGUGGCCAGAUCUGCAAGGAGUGGUGGGGCGUGCUGGGCGGAGCCCCGGGGUAGAGCUCUACGGAAGUAGGAAGGGCAGGGGCGCCCUCAGGGAAACCUC